This 423-nucleotide ribosomal RNA is filed under the name uncultured bacterium. Its description in RNAcentral is "bacterial SSU rRNA". It matches the Rfam family "Bacterial small subunit ribosomal RNA", at positions 28 to 450 of the family's 1533-position model. The record is from RNAcentral.
GAUGAACGCUGGCGGCGUGCCUAAUACAUGCAAGUCGAACGCGAGCACUUGUGCUCGAGUGGCGAACGGGUGAGUAAUACAUAAGUAACCUGCCCUAGACAGGGGGAUAACUAUUGGAAACGAUAGCUAAGACCGCAUAGGUACGGACACUGCAUGGUGACCGUAUUAAAAGUGCCUCAAAGCACUGGUAGAGGAUGGACUUAUGGCGCAUUAGCUGGUUGGCGGGGUAACGGCCCACCAAGGCGACGAUGCGUAGCCGACCUGAGAGGGUGACCGGCCACACUGGGACUGAGACACGGCCCAGACUCCUACGGGAGGCAGCAGUAGGGAAUUUUUGCGCAAUGGGGGCAACCCUGACGCAGCAACGCCGCGUGAUUGAUGAAGGUCUUCGGGAUUGUAAAAAUCUUUAAUCGAGGGACGAAG